Molecule: ribosomal RNA, 468 nt
Filed under: uncultured bacterium
Lineage: Bacteria
Description: partial 16S ribosomal RNA
Rfam family: Bacterial small subunit ribosomal RNA
Source: RNAcentral
GACGAACGCUGGCGGCGUGCUUAACACAUGCAAGUCGAACGGAAAGGCCCUGCUUUUGUGGGUUGCUCGAGCGGCGAACGGGUGAGUAACACGUGAGUAACCUGCCCUUGACUUUGGGAUAACUUCAGGAAACUGGGGCUAAUACCGGAUAGGAGCCCCUGCUGCAUGGUGGGGGUUGGAAAGUUUCGGCGGUUGGGGAUGGACUCGCGGCUUAUCAGCUUGUUGGUGGGGUAGUGGCUUACCAAGGCUUUGACGGGUAGCCGGCCUGAGAGGGUGACCGGCCACAUUGGGACUGAGAUACGGCCCAGACUCCUACGGGAGGCAGCAGUGGGGAAUAUUGCACAAUGGGCGGAAGCCUGAUGCAGCAACGCCGCGUGCGGGAUGACGGCCUUCGGGUUGUAAACCGCUUUCGCCUGUGACGAAGCGUGAGUGACGGUAAUGGGUAAAGAAGCACCGGCUAACUACGUG